GAUGAACGCUGGCGGCGUGCCUAAUACAUGCAAGUCGAGCGAACAGACGAGGAGCUUGCUCCUCUGACGUUAGCGGCGGACGGGUGAGUAACACGUGGAUAACCUACCUAUAAGACUGGGAUAACUUCGGGAAACCGGAGCUAAUACCGGAUAAUAUAUUGAACCGCAUGGUUCAAUAGUGAAAGACGGUUUUGCUGUCACUUAUAGAUGGAUCCGCGCCGCAUUAGCUAGUUGGUAAGGUAACGGCUUACCAAGGCAACGAUGCGUAGCCGACCUGAGAGGGGGAUCGGCCACACGGGAACGGAGACACGGUCCAGACUCCUACGGGGGGCAGCAGUGGGGAAUCUUCCGCAAGGGGGGAAAGCCGGACGGAGCAACGCCGGGUGGGUGAUGAAGGUCUUCGGAUCGUAAAACUCUUUUAUUAGGGAAAAAAAAAUGUGAAAGUAACUAUGCACGUCUUGACGGUACCUAAUCAGAAAGCCACGGCUAACUACGU
This 496-nucleotide ribosomal RNA is filed under the name uncultured bacterium. RNAcentral describes it as "partial 16S ribosomal RNA". It matches the Rfam family "Bacterial small subunit ribosomal RNA", at positions 28 to 506 of the family's 1533-position model. The record is from RNAcentral.